Molecule: long non-coding RNA, 298 nt
Filed under: Betta splendens (Siamese fighting fish)
Lineage: Eukaryota; Metazoa; Chordata; Actinopteri; Anabantiformes; Osphronemidae
Description: lncRNA (ENSBSLG00000010434.1)
Source: RNAcentral
ACGCUGAUAAUAGAGGCUCAGGACGCAGUUAGCAUCGGGGUCGUCGUUGCAGCUACUGUAGCUAACUGCUAACGGUAGACUUCGAAGUUUGCUUUGCAAAAGCUAUUUGCAUAAUUAAGCUACUGAGUGAAGAACUACACUAUCAAUCCCUUGGGUGAAUAAACCUGGAGGCACUAAAUGCACUGCUAAAACUGGAGUGAGACAGUGGGACCAGAGAAACGGUGAUGAGAAAGGCACCAGAACAGUGUCAUCCUUCCUUCGUUCAUCAUCUAACUGGAAGUGGAAGAGCUCAAAUUAA